RNAcentral lists this ribosomal RNA (502 nucleotides) under uncultured euryarchaeote. RNAcentral's name for it is "bacterial SSU rRNA". It matches the Rfam family "Archaeal small subunit ribosomal RNA", at positions 31 to 546 of the family's 1478-position model. Lineage: Archaea; Methanobacteriati; Methanobacteriota. The record is from RNAcentral.
UUCGAGGUACGACUAAGCCAUGCGAGUCGAAUGUAGCAAUACAUGGCGAACUGCUCAGUAACAGUGGACAACCUACCCUUAGGCCUGUAUAACCCCGGGAAACUGGGAAUAAUACCGGACUGGCGCGAAUGCUGGAAUGCGUCGCGCCAGAAAGCUCCGGCGCCUAAGGAUGGGUCUGCGGCCUAUCAGGGUAGCAGUGGGUGUAACGGACCUACUAGCCUACGACGGGCCGGGUCGUGAGAGCAAGAGCCCGGAGACGAUUCUGAGACACGAAUCCAGGCCCUACGGGGUGCAGCAGGCGCGAAAACUUUACAAUGCUGGCAACAGCGAUANAUUAGGGACCUCGAGUGCCAGGAUACAAUCCUGGCUGUCGUAAUGCCUAAAAAGCAUUGCAUAGCAAGGGCCGGGCAAGACCGGUGCCACCCCGCCGCGGGUAAACCGGCGGCUCAGUGGUAUCCUAUUACUCGGGUUAAAGGGAGGUCCGUGUUGCAAGUUCAAUUUA